Molecule: ribosomal RNA, 432 nt
Filed under: uncultured bacterium
Lineage: Bacteria
Description: partial 16S ribosomal RNA
Rfam family: Bacterial small subunit ribosomal RNA
Source: RNAcentral
AACGAACGCUGGCGGCAUGCCUAACACAUGCAAGUCGAACGAGACCUUCGGGUCUAGUGGCGCACGGGUGCGUAACGCGUGGGAACCUGCCCUUAGGUUCGGAAUAACUCCCCGAAAGGGGUGCUAAUACCGGAUAAUGUCUUCGGACCAAAGAUUUAUCGCCUUUGGAUGGGCCCGCGUUGGAUUAGCUAGUUGGUAGGGUAAAAGCCUACCAAGGCGACGAUCCAUAGCUGGUCUGAGAGGAUGAUCAGCCACACUGGGACUGAGACACGGCCCAGACUCCUACGGGAGGCAGCAGUGGGGAAGAGUGGACAAUGGGCGAAAGCCUGAUCCAGCAAUGCCGCGAGAGUGAUGAAGGCCUUAGGGUUGUAAAGCUCUUUUACCCGGGAUGAUAAUGACAGUACCGGGAGAAUAAGCUCCGGCUAACUCCGU